RNAcentral lists this ribosomal RNA (289 nucleotides) under uncultured Alphaproteobacteria bacterium. Its description in RNAcentral is "partial 16S ribosomal RNA". Lineage: Bacteria; Pseudomonadati; Pseudomonadota; Alphaproteobacteria. The record is from RNAcentral.
CUACCGGGGUAUCUAAUCCUGUUUGCUCCCCACGCUUUCGCACCUCAGCGUCAGUAUCGAGCCAGUGAGCCGCCUUCGCCACUGUUGUUCGUCCGAAUAUCGACGAAUUUCACUUCUACACUCGGAAUUCCACUCACCUCUCUCGAACUCAAGAUACCCAGUAUCAAGGGCAGUUCCGGGGUUGAGCCCCGGGAUUUCACCCCUGACUUAAAUAUCCGCCUAAGCGCGCUUUACGCCCAGUAAUUCGGAACCGCGCUAGUCCCCUCCGUAUUACCGCUGAUGCUGGCAC